UGCAAGUCGAGGGGUAACAUGGUAGCAAUACUGAUGACGACCGGCAAACGGGUGCGGAACACGUACAGAACCUUCCUUAGAGUGGGGGAUAGCCCGGAGANNNNCGGAUUAAUACCCCAUAGUAAUAUUUGGUGGCAUCAUUAGAUAUUUAAAGAUUUAUUGCUCUAAGAUGGCUGUGCGGCUGAUUAGGUAGUUGGUGUAGGUAACGGCUCACCAAGCCUUCGAUCAGUAACUGGUGUGAGAGCACGACCAGUCACACGGGCACUGAGACACGGGCCCGACUCCUACGGGAGGCAGCAGUAAGGAAUAUUGGUCAAUGGACGCAAGUCUGAACCAGCCAUGCCGCGUGAAGGAUGACGGCCCUCUGGGUUGUAAACUUCUUUUAUCUGGGACGAAACACUCUUUUUCUAAAGAGCUUGACGGUACCAGAGGAAUAAGCACCGGCUAACUCCGUGCCAGCAGCCGCGGUAAUACGGAGGGUGCAAGCGUUAUCCGGAUUCACUGGGUUUAAAGGGUGCGUAGGUGGGUUUGUAAGUCAGUGGUGAAAUCUCCGUGCUUAACAUGGAAACUGCCAUUGAUACUACAGGUCUUGAAUCUUCCGGAGGUCAGCGGAAUAUGUCAUGUAGCGGUGAAAUGCUUAGAUAUGACAUAGAACACCGAUUGCGAAGGCAGCUGACUACAGGGGCAUUGACACUGAGGCACGAAAGCGUGGGGAUCAAACAGGAUUAGAUACCCUGGUAGUCCACGCCCUAAACGAUGG
This 760-nucleotide ribosomal RNA is filed under the name Segetibacter sp. A37C11. RNAcentral's name for it is "bacterial SSU rRNA". It matches the Rfam family "Bacterial small subunit ribosomal RNA", at positions 56 to 812 of the family's 1533-position model. Lineage: Bacteria; Pseudomonadati; Bacteroidota; Chitinophagia; Chitinophagales; Chitinophagaceae. The record is from RNAcentral.